This 666-nucleotide ribosomal RNA is filed under the name Escherichia coli. Its description in RNAcentral is "partial 23S ribosomal RNA". It matches the Rfam family "Bacterial large subunit ribosomal RNA", at positions 2256 to 2916 of the family's 2925-position model. RNAcentral also lists the same sequence under 1 other name. The record is from RNAcentral. Lineage: Bacteria; Pseudomonadati; Pseudomonadota; Gammaproteobacteria; Enterobacterales; Enterobacteriaceae.
GUCUGGUGGGUAGUUUGACUGGGGCGGUCUCCUCCUAAAGAGUAACGGAGGAGCACGAAGGUUGGCUAAUCCUGGUCGGACAUCAGGAGGUUAGUGCAAUGGCAUAAGCCAGCUUGACUGCGAGCGUGACGGCGCGAGCAGGUGCGAAAGCAGGUCAUAGUGAUCCGGUGGUUCUGAAUGGAAGGGCCAUCGCUCAACGGAUAAAAGGUACUCCGGGGAUAACAGGCUGAUACCGCCCAAGAGUUCAUAUCGACGGCGGUGUUUGGCACCUCGAUGUCGGCUCAUCACAUCCUGGGGCUGAAGUAGGUCCCAAGGGUAUGGCUGUUCGCCAUUUAAAGUGGUACGCGAGCUGGGUUUAGAACGUCGUGAGACAGUUCGGUCCCUAUCUGCCGUGGGCGCUGGAGAACUGAGGGGGGCUGCUCCUAGUACGAGAGGACCGGAGUGGACGCAUCACUGGUGUUCGGGUUGUCAUGCCAAUGGCACUGCCCGGUAGCUAAAUGCGGAAGAGAUAAGUGCUGAAAGCAUCUAAGCACGAAACUUGCCCCGAGAUGAGUUCUCCCUGACUCCUUGAGAGUCCUGAAGGAACGUUGAAGACGACGACGUUGAUAGGCCGGGUGUGUAAGCGCAGCGAUGCGUUGAGCUAACCGGUACUAAUGAACCGUGAGG